Molecule: ribosomal RNA, 403 nt
Filed under: uncultured beta proteobacterium
Lineage: Bacteria; Pseudomonadati; Pseudomonadota; Betaproteobacteria
Description: bacterial SSU rRNA
Rfam family: Bacterial small subunit ribosomal RNA
Source: RNAcentral
GAGUUUGAUCAUGGCUCAGAUUGAACGCUGGCGGCAUGCCUUACACAUGCAAGUCGAGCGGCAGCGCGGGGGCAACCCUGGCGGCGAGCGGCGAACGGGUGAGUAAUACAUCGGAACGUGUCCAGUAGCGGGGGAUAACCUCUCGAAAGAGAGGCUAAUACCGCAUACGACCUACGGGUGAAAGCGGGGGACCGCAAGGCCUCGCACUAUUGGAGCGGCCGAUGUCGGAUUAGCUAGUUGGCGGGGUAAAAGCCCACCAAGGCGACGAUCCGUAGCUGGUCUGAGAGGACGAUCAGCCACACUGGAACUGAGACACGGUCCAGACUCCUACGGGAGGCAGCAGUGGGGAAUUUUGGACAAUGGGGGCAACCCUGAUCCAGCCAUGCCGCGUGAGUGAAGAAGG